Cricetulus griseus (Chinese hamster) is the source of this 473-nucleotide non-coding RNA. NCBI's taxonomy places the organism in Eukaryota, Metazoa, Chordata, Mammalia, Rodentia, Cricetidae. The record is from RefSeq and is a predicted model, not a curated record.
AGACGCCCAAAAUUCCGCCUCUGCAGAGUCACUCCUUGGUUUGGUGCGACCUAGGAAGGGUGACACACACACACACAUACACACCGCUGUGAGUUUGGCAGACCCGUCCUUAAAAUGGGCGCCGGGCACGUGCGGGACUCGGGACCUGGAGAAAAUGGGAUGGAUCGCCACUUGGCAAGUACAGAGCUCCAGAGACCGAAGCUGAGGACAGCCUUUCAACUCCAGCAAAGAAACCAUCCGCCCAGCGGCUGGUGGGAUGAAGGUGAAGGCUGCCUGCGAUGAGCCCUCCCCUGGCUAGUUAUCAUUGCCCUGCAUCUCAAACUCCAGACCAAGACCCCUGAACCUGGAGCCCACUCAGCCUUCGGAGCUUCUGUUUCCUAUAGAAUAUCAUUCAUUCUCUGACAGAAUCUGCAGGAAGAGGGUUCACAGUCCAUUUCUGUUAAUAAAUUGCCUCUGUGUAAGGAAAAAAAAUC